This is a long non-coding RNA of Oncorhynchus tshawytscha (Chinook salmon), 705 nucleotides long. The record is from Ensembl. NCBI's taxonomy places the organism in Eukaryota, Metazoa, Chordata, Actinopteri, Salmoniformes, Salmonidae.
GUAAUCACAGUGAUGGAGUACUGUAGUGGUAAUCACAGUGAUGGAAUACUGUAGGGGGUAAACACAGUGAUGAGUACUGUGGGGGUAAACACAGUGAUGAGUACUGUAGGGGGUAAACACAGUGAUGAGUACUGUGGGGGUAAACACAGUGAUGAGUACUGUUGGGGGUAAACACAGUGAUGGAGUACUGUAGGGGUAAACACAGUGAUGAGUACUGUUGGGGUAAACACAUUGAUGGAGUACUCUAGGGGGUAAACACAGUGAUGUAGUACUGUAGGGUUAAACACAGUGAUGGAGUGCUGUAGGAGUAAACACAGUAAAUGGAGUACUGUAGGGGGUAAUCCCAGGGAUCGAGUACUGUAGGGGCUAAACACAGUGAUGGAGUACUGUAGGGGUAAACAAGGUGAUGGAGUACUGUAGGAGUAAACACAGUGAUGGAGUACUGUAGGAGUAAACAAAAUGAUGGAGUACUGUAGGGGUAAACACAGUGAUGGAGUACUCUAGGGGGUAAACACAGUGAUGAGUACUGUAGGGGUAAACACAGUGAUGAGUACUGUAGGGGUAAACACAGUGAUGGAGUACUGUUGGGGGUAAACACAGUGAUGGAGUACUGUAGGGGUAAACACAGUGAUGGAGUACUCUAGGGGGUAAUCCCAGGGAUCGAGUACUGUAGGGGCUAAACACAGUGAUGGAGUACUGUAGGGG